Molecule: ribosomal RNA, 408 nt
Filed under: Triticum aestivum (bread wheat)
Lineage: Eukaryota; Viridiplantae; Streptophyta; Magnoliopsida; Poales; Poaceae
Description: partial small subunit ribosomal RNA
Source: RNAcentral
AUGGCUUCACUUGUAACAAUACAUAUGCCUUCUGUUUAUUUGCCUGACAAAAUGUCCAUCAGAAGAAUUACUCAUAUAGGAGGAUGUGGGGAGUAUUUCAAACUGAAACAAAGAAUUGAUCCUACCUACGUGAAGUGCAUUAUCUUUAAAGCCUCUGAAUAUAUUCUGCUGCUACUCCACCAGGAAAGUGCAGGGCUUCAAGAACCAAAAGAGGCCACUCGAGCCCUCUUCGGACUCAUAAGCCCUGUUGUUGUUUAUAUCCUUAACCCCAAAAGGUUGACUCUUAGCAUCUCUAUUGUUCUCCUGGCCCUUAUUAGCAUAGCUAUUUACCAUAAUGGUGUUGUUUGGAAAAAUAUAGUACAAUGCACAACAAAAUUAGUGCCACAUGUUGAUGCCACUAAUUUAUAA